Molecule: ribosomal RNA, 253 nt
Filed under: uncultured bacterium
Lineage: Bacteria
Description: partial 16S ribosomal RNA
Rfam family: Bacterial small subunit ribosomal RNA
Source: RNAcentral
UACGUAGGGGGCAAGCGUUGUCCGGAAUUAUUGGGCGUAAAGAGCGUGUAGGCGGUCCGGUAAGUCAGCUGUGAAAGUCAAGGGCUCAACCCUUGAAUGCCGGUUGAUACUGUCGGGCUAGAGUCCGGAAGGGGCGAGUGGAAUUCCUGGUGUAGCGGUGAAAUGCGCAGAUAUCAGGAGGAACACCAAUGGCGAAGGCAGCUCGCUGGGACGGUACUGACGCUGAGGCGCGAAAGCGUGGGGAGCAAACAGG